This 460-nucleotide ribosomal RNA is filed under the name uncultured bacterium. RNAcentral's name for it is "partial 16S ribosomal RNA". It matches the Rfam family "Bacterial small subunit ribosomal RNA", at positions 338 to 795 of the family's 1533-position model. The record is from RNAcentral.
CCUACGUGUGGCAGCAGUGAGGAAUAUUGGUCAAUGGACGCAAGUCUGAACCAGCCAUGCCGCGUGCAGGAAGACGGCUCUAUGAGUUGUAAACUGCUUUUGUAGGAGGGUAAACGCAGAUACGCGUAUCUGACUGAACGUAUCGUACGAAUAAGGAACGGCUAACUCAGUGCCAGCAGCCGCGGUAAUACGGAGGAGUCAAGCGUUAUCCGGAUUUAUUGGGUUUAAAGGGUGCGUAGGCGGUCGGAUAAGUUAGAGGUGAAAUCCCGAGGCUCAACUUCGGAAUUGCCUCUGAUACUGUUCGGCUAGAGAGUAGUUGCGGUAGGCGGAAUGUAUGGUGUAGCGGUGAAAUGCUUAGAGAUCAUACAGAACACCGAUUGCGAAGGCAGCUUACCAAGCUACUUCUGACGUUGAGGCACGAAAGCGUGGGGAGCAAACAGGAUUAGAUACCCUUGUAGUC